GUAAUUAUAGUUUAUCAAAAACAUUAGACUGUGAAUCUAAAAACAAAGAGUUAUAUCUUUUAAUUACC
Molecule: transfer RNA, 68 nt
Filed under: Dipodomys merriami (Merriam's kangaroo rat)
Lineage: Eukaryota; Metazoa; Chordata; Mammalia; Rodentia; Heteromyidae
Description: tRNA-His
Rfam family: tRNA
About the family: Transfer RNA (tRNA) molecules are approximately 80 nucleotides in length. Their secondary structure includes four short double-helical elements and three loops (D, anti-codon, and T loops).
Source: RNAcentral